Molecule: ribosomal RNA, 1408 nt
Filed under: Triticum aestivum (bread wheat)
Lineage: Eukaryota; Viridiplantae; Streptophyta; Magnoliopsida; Poales; Poaceae
Description: partial small subunit ribosomal RNA
Source: RNAcentral
UACUUUUAUAGGAGGUGGGGUGGGGUGGGGUUCAGGGUUGGGGUCGGUCCGGGUUGGGUUUGACUUGAGAAGAGGGGGGCUGGGUUUGGGGUCGGGGCGGCGGCCGGUUGAGGUCAGGGAAGCGGCGGCGGCGGCGGCGGCGCAUCUGCGCUCCUGCGUGUGCGUAGGCGAUGGUGGCGCCGGUACCAGGAGAGGGUGGCGGCGAAGGAGGAAGGUGGGGCCGGAGAAACGGUAGCCGCGGCAGCGUGGUGACGGCCGGGGACGAGCUCGACCAGUCCGCCGCACGUCUAGGCGGUGACGGUGUCGCAGCAGCAGGAGGUGUUGGUGCGUCGCCGAGGAGCGGGCGCUGGGAGAAGAGGUCAAACCCCCGUUCCUUCCUCUUCGGAAAGAGCGAGCUAGACCGCUCCUACCUACGCGUCGUUCCACGUGGUGGCACUACUACCCCUAAGUAAGAACGACGGUGCUAAGCAGAGCAGCAGGAGGGGCCGUAAGCGUAUCCAGUCCGAGCACCCCUGCCACUCACCGUUCCGCCCCUCCUUGUGCCUAUACAGUGAAGUAGUCUACCGUCCAUCCUCCAUGUUGCCGGUCGCUGGCCCUGCUGUGGUUGUCGGUUUCCUUCGAACUCCAGACGAGGAAGAGGUGGUCAUCUCUCCUCGGAGGAAAAACCCAAGGCGCACAGACGAGGCUCGGAUGGUCGCGGCUACGGUACCUUCUAAAUGAGUCCGUGCGCUUCGCAUUACUCCUCGUCGACGACCCGCACUACAACUAGCUAGGAUCGGACAGAAGGCCGAGAGUCACUAAACGAGGAGCUCCACAUACGGCACGACGUGGACUUAGGACAACUGAUGCUCGUCGCCUUGCGGAACAAACUACAUAAGUCGUUGUACCGUUGAUUUUAGAAACCAUUCUCUACUAUAUCAAACGGAAACAAUGAUUAUUACACUAGUGACUUAUCGUACUACUUGAACAGCGUCUCAUCUCUUUCUAUUGUAGCAGUACUUAUAAUAGAGAGAAGGUCAAUAUGAGGGAGGCAUUGAAUUAUAUUCUACGAAAAACUGUGAUACGGUCACAGUCUUUUGUAUAAUAUACUUCAAUGCCUCCCUCAUCAUUAGUCGCCAAAAUGAGAAACAUAAACUCUAAAGAGUUUUUGAGAGCAAUGAAUACAAUAGAUAGAUGAAUGCCUCCCUCAUCAUUUUGAUUAUUCUUCUUAUGGUAAGAAUUAUACAAACUAAGACCAAUAAACAAUAGAUAGAUGAAUACAAUAGAUCGUAGAUGUGCUAUGAAAACACCUUCCACCUGACAGCGACAGUCUUUAGUCUUUAUGAUAAAAGAACCGAAACCAGAAAACCUGUCAACUUCAAACACUUAUUAGUACGACACAACAAUCAACAAUGAAAUUCAUACCAGG